UACGUAGGCAGCAAGCGUUGUUCGGAGUUACUGGGCGUAAAGGGUGUGUAGGCGGUUCUUUAAGUUUGGUGUGAAAUCUCCCGGCUCAACUGGGAGGGUGCGCCGAAUACUGAGGGACUAGAGUACGGGAGAGGAAAGUGGAAUUCCUGGUGUAGCGGUGAAAUGCGUAGAUAUCAGGAGGAACACCGGUGGUGUAGACGGCUUUCUGGACCGUAACUGACGCUGAGACACGAAAGCGUGGGUAGCAAACAGGAUUAGAUACCCUGGUAGUCCACGCCCUAAACGAUGCAUAUUUGGUGUGGGCAGUUCAUUCUGUCCGUGCCGGAGCUAACGCGUUAAAUAUGCCGCCUGGGGAGUACAGUCGCAAGGCUGAA
This 374-nucleotide ribosomal RNA is filed under the name uncultured bacterium. RNAcentral's name for it is "bacterial SSU rRNA". It matches the Rfam family "Bacterial small subunit ribosomal RNA", at positions 524 to 898 of the family's 1533-position model. The record is from RNAcentral.